This is a long non-coding RNA of Alexandromys fortis (reed vole), 748 nucleotides long. RefSeq lists it as uncharacterized. Lineage: Eukaryota; Metazoa; Chordata; Mammalia; Rodentia; Cricetidae. The transcript has 3 exons. The record is from RefSeq and is a predicted model, not a curated record.
GGUCACAUCCUUGCUUCACUGUGUACCUUUCCAGACUAGGGAGGCAGUAGCCGUGGGUGCAGAUGUCAGGGCCAGAGAGACGACCAUGAGUUCCAGAGAGUUCAUGGGGCGAGCGAGCCAAAGAGCUGCAGGAGUUUGGCUCUCAAUCUGCUGGUAAAUAUGCUAAUCACACACAGGUCUUUGCCUGUUCUCAGGGACUUAGUAUCUGAGAGAUGGGCAACUUCCUAAGUGGCUGCAAUAAACAUCACUGAGCUCGAACACGAGAGGUGUAAGCCACUCUCACACACAGAACAGACUAUCUCUGGGGAGCCAGAAGGAAUGGCGCUGAUUUGAGGAGAAGCAUGGUCUUCAUUCUGGAAACACCGAGUUCCAGGGCCUCUGUGGAGACCAAUUAUCAUGUGCAGAAGAUAGUAAUGGCUCAAUCAGCUACAGCAAUCCAGACUCCAGAAAGGAGCUGGGCACAGUGAAAUAGCCCUGUAAUCCCAGCACUGAGAAAUCUGAGAUAGGAAGAUCUCAAGUUCAAAGCCAACCUGGGCUACACGGGUCCCUUCUCCUGGCUAGAACUGCAGCCCUGGGAUUUCUGUGCCCUCAUCAGAACAGCAUCGCUGAUGAAAACGUGAAGUGGAGUAAGACAGGUACCCCAAAGAGAAAACACACAAAGAAAAAAGAAAACAGGCCCAAGGCUAAAGCCCAGGGUUCAGAAGUAGGUGUGGUGUCUGUGCCCCAAGGCCCCGAAGGCUAACUGGGA